RNAcentral lists this ribosomal RNA (434 nucleotides) under uncultured bacterium. Its description in RNAcentral is "bacterial SSU rRNA". It matches the Rfam family "Bacterial small subunit ribosomal RNA", at positions 917 to 1349 of the family's 1533-position model. The record is from RNAcentral.
GGACCCGCACAAGUAGUGGAGCAUGUGGUUUAAUUCGAAGAUACGCGCAGAACCUUACCAACACUUGACAUGUUCGUCGCGACUUUAAGAGAUUAAAGUUUUCGGUUCGGCCGGACGAAACACAGGUGCUGCAUGGCUGUCGUCAGCUCGUGUCGUGAGAUGUUGGGUUAAGUCCCGCAACGAGCGCAACCCUCACUUUUAGUUGCCAUCAUUAAGUUGGGCACUCUGAAAGAACUGCCAGUGAUAAGCUGGAGGAAGGUGGGGAUGACGUCAAGUCCUCAUGGCCCUUACGUGUUGGGCUACACACGUGCUACAAUGGUAUCUACAACAGGAAGCAAAACUGCGAAGUUAAGCAAAUCCUUAAAAGAUACCUCAGUUCGGAUUGCACUCUGCAACUCGAGUGCAUGAAGCUGGAAUUACUAGUAAUCGCAGGU